This 443-nucleotide ribosomal RNA is filed under the name uncultured bacterium. RNAcentral's name for it is "partial 16S ribosomal RNA". It matches the Rfam family "Bacterial small subunit ribosomal RNA", at positions 338 to 795 of the family's 1533-position model. The record is from RNAcentral.
CCUACACGAGGCAGCAGUGGGGAAUAUUGGGCAAUGGGCGCAAGCCUGACCCAGCAACGCCGCGUGAAGGAAGAAGGCUUUCGGGUUGUACACUUCUUUUCUCAGGGACGAAUAAAGUGACGGUACCUGAGGAAUAAGCCACGGCUAACUACGUGCCAGCAGCCGCGGUAAUACGUAGGUGGCAAGCGUUAUCCGUAUUUACUGGGUGUAAAGGGCGUGUAGGCGGGACUGCAAGUCAGAUGUGAAACCCACGGGCUCAACCGGUGGCCUGCAUUUGAAACUGUAGUUCUUGAGUACUGGAGAGGCAGACGGAAGUCCUAGUGUAGCGGGGAAAUGCGUAGAUAUUAGGAGGAACACCAGUGGCGAAGGCGGUCUGCUGGACAGCAACUGACGCUGAGGCGCGAAAGCGUGGGGAGCAAACAGGAUUAGAUACCCCAGUAGUC